CGCGUAGGCGGGCCAAUCAGUCUGGUGUGAAAGCCCGGGGCUCAACCCCGGAAGUGCACUGGAAACUGUUGGUCUUGAGUUCGGGAGAGGAAGGCAGAAUUCCCGGUGUAGGAGUAGAAAUCCGUAGAGAUCGGGAGGAAAAUCAGUGGCGAAGGCGGCCUUCUGGAACGAAACUGACGCUGAGGCGCGAAAGCGUGGGAGCAAACGA
Molecule: ribosomal RNA, 208 nt
Filed under: uncultured bacterium
Lineage: Bacteria
Description: partial 16S ribosomal RNA
Rfam family: Bacterial small subunit ribosomal RNA
Source: RNAcentral